GUCUUCAUAGUCUAGUAGGUUAAGACAUCGCCCUUUCACGGCGAAAACACGAGUUCAAAUCUCGUUGAAGGUA
RNAcentral lists this transfer RNA (73 nucleotides) under Helicotheca tamesis. RNAcentral describes it as "tRNA-Glu". It matches the Rfam family "tRNA". From Rfam's summary of the family: Transfer RNA (tRNA) molecules are approximately 80 nucleotides in length. Their secondary structure includes four short double-helical elements and three loops (D, anti-codon, and T loops). The record is from RNAcentral. Lineage: Eukaryota; Bacillariophyta; Thalassiosirophyceae; Lithodesmiales; Lithodesmiaceae.